CAGCAGUGGGGAAUAUUGGGCAAUGGGGGAAACCCUGACCCAGCAACGCCGCGUGAAGGAAGAAGGCCUUCGGGUUGUAAACUUCUUUUAGCAGGGACGAAGGACGUGACGGUACCUGCAGAAAAAGCAACGGCUAACUACGUGCCAGCAGCCGCGGUAAUACGUAGGUUGCAAGCGUUGUCCGGAUUUACUGGGUGUAAAGGGCGUGUAGGCGGAGAUGCAAGUCAGGAGUGAAAUCCCGGGGCUCAACCCCGGAACUGCUUUUGAAACUGUAUCCCUUGAGUGUCGGAGAGGCAAGCGGAAUUCCUAGUGUAGCGGUGAAAUGCGUAGAUAUUAGGAGGAACACCAGUGGCGAAGGCGGCUUGCUGGACGAUAACUGACGCUGAGGCGCGAAAGCGUGGGGAGCAAACAGGAUUAGA
This 419-nucleotide ribosomal RNA is filed under the name uncultured Oscillospiraceae bacterium. RNAcentral describes it as "bacterial SSU rRNA". It matches the Rfam family "Bacterial small subunit ribosomal RNA", at positions 349 to 782 of the family's 1533-position model. Lineage: Bacteria; Bacillati; Bacillota; Clostridia; Eubacteriales; Oscillospiraceae. The record is from RNAcentral.